This 460-nucleotide long non-coding RNA is filed under the name Zea mays. RNAcentral's name for it is "drought responsive lncRNA". Lineage: Eukaryota; Viridiplantae; Streptophyta; Magnoliopsida; Poales; Poaceae. The record is from RNAcentral.
CCUGGAAUGUUACAGUCCAUGCGCAUGCCAAUCCAAGGACGAAGAGCACCAACGGCAAGCGCCCAGAUGACGGCCGAAGCGGCGGCCGACGGCAUAGCCGCCGCCACCUUCCAGGCGAAGGCCACGGUGAGCAGCCACACAGCGCCUCGCCCGCGCUCUGGCUGGGACCCGGGCGCCGCGCGCUCGUAGUCACGGAGGCAGCGGAAAAGGAGUAGCAGAGCGGCGUACGAGCCUGUUACCAGUAGGAUGGAGACGAGGUCGCCCCACACGCGGUAGAUGGCGACCCUGGAGUUGAGGGUCAAGAAGCCGAGGCCGGCUGUGGUGGCCCAGGUCGGAGGGAGGUUGGCGUUGUCGGCCAUGGAUGGUGGAGGUGCGCGUGGGGGCAGAGGCAGAGGGCGCUGACGUAGUGACGCCGCCGACACGCCUUUUCUCUCGAGUCUUCAAGUCUAGGAGCGACGGG